Long non-coding RNA from Wyeomyia smithii (pitcher-plant mosquito), 2930 nucleotides. RefSeq lists it as uncharacterized. The transcript is spliced from 3 exons. The record is from RefSeq and is a predicted model, not a curated record. NCBI's taxonomy places the organism in Eukaryota, Metazoa, Arthropoda, Insecta, Diptera, Culicidae.
UGUGGGAUAGUCUCACACCCUGCAUCCCCAUUCGUAGCCUUUUCCAAACCGGGCAAAACAACGACAAUGAAAGCAUCGUUAAGUACAGCUGGCACCGGGCUACGGGACAACAACAACACGAACAAAAAAGGAAAAGCUCUUCUUCAUUCUUUAACUUUUUAUGAUGUUGUACACAGGCUAACAACCAUUCUCGCCGAUGAUGGCAGCACUACAGCAGUGCCAAGUGGAAGUACCAGAUGGGUUAGCCUUAUGGAUAGCCGGCGAGCGUGUUGUGACCGUUGCCGUUUGGGUUUUUGUCUCUUCCGCAAGGGGUGAGGGUGAGGGUGAAACCCGGCGCGCUAGCGUUAUAUAUAGUGGAUAAUGGAAGAGAACGCAAAGAAAACGAUAUCUAAUCUGCCAAGUGGAUGCAGUUUCAAGCUUCAAGAGUACUCUACUGUCAGCCAUUAGUGUUUUCCGGAAUAUUGAGAACGCAAGAAAACAUGAAGCUUCUGACGCACCGUGGAGGCGUCAGUGAGUAAACAAUAUUCACAUAGUGAGUAAACAAAUUCGACAUCUUUUGUAUCUAACCGGAAAAGGCAUUCCUUGGAGGAACGUGACGAAGGUAUUGCAGUGCCGCACCGUGUGCCGUACACUUGCUUUGAAUUCAUCACCACAGGGUUUCCGCGCUGAGAUAGCAAAGAUCAUGGGGGGCAAAUGUUUGCCCUCGGAGUGCUUUGAUGGAAAAUUCCCGCAGCUCACCCCGGUACCGGAUGGUGGCGAACGACGACGCUUCAAGCUGUCAGUCAGCAGGCCGAUAGGAAGGCACACCAUGUGAAUGCGGUCGUGGCUGUAUAAUGAUUUGCUCACUACACCCGAACGCCUUUUGCUCUAAUCGGAUUUACAGAUGGAAGUCGGCAGAAAGUCCUCAUUAGGCGCGGCUUCCUUCGAAGUUAUUAUUUUCGAUUGCGAGCGAGCAAAUUUAAACUUUAUGCUAGGUAUAUUAUGUUAUGGCAGUGCGCUAAGUUAUAUCAGCCAAGAUACAUAGUAUACUUUGAGAAAACAACAUUGAUGAAGCCAACCAAAUAUUCUUCGCAUGAUAAUACAAAUGCGGACUUACUGACUAUUCUUUUUGAUAUAAUUUUUUGAGCAACUUUACAUAUACCAUCGUGCUUUUGCCCCCUUCCCCAAUAACUGUUCUUUAUUGAGAGUCGUAAGAAGUGUUUCGGUUGGAAAUCCUUACGGGGAAAAAUAAGUACAACUUUUGAGUGGAUCUACGUCUUAAGGGACGCUUCUGAAAUGCGGAGAAUUGCACUAUUAGAAAAUGUCGAGCCUUGUUUUGCACGCAGAUAUCAACCAAUCAGAGCUGAAAACAAUGUUAAAUACCAUCCAAUAUGGGUAUUUUCGGAACCGGGAGGCCGAAAACUCAGACGCCAUUUUGUUAUGUAAAUUUUUCUGGUUUUAGAGUCAUUGGUAGCUAUAGCUGAGAUAAUUCGGUCUCUUUAUUUUUUGAAAAGGUUUUUAAACAUGUCGAGCACAUGCUGAGAACCUUUUAUUUUCGUUAGCAGAGGUACUUUCAAUCUAUCUUAUCAGCCUACCACUUUAAGCAAAAGUUGGAAUCAAUUUUUGCUUUGCCUCUUUUUAACUUUUUUGUCUCGUUAGAAUUCCUUUUUUAAUUUGAAGCGAACUUAAGAUUUUCUUUAUUUUUAUUUUUUUUUUUCUAGAAGCAUUUCCUAGCUCUUUUAGUUAGUUCGGAAAACCUAGUUUGCUUUAUCUCUUUUAAAGGGAAUUUUCACAUAGAACUACGUCCCUCAGGAAGUUUGUCUGCAUAGGAGUGUGAAAUGCAAAUCAAAGAUGAAAAAAGGGAAAGUAUGUCGAAUUUCAAAUGCUAAUAAAUCGGUUAGUUAUCAAUGGAUUUCCUUCCUUCUUGCAGAAAUCGAUUGGAAAAUCAUCUAUGCAUUUGCUCGAAUGCAUAAAAUUGUAAUUUGUUUUGUCGAACUAUUGUACUAUUGAAAAUUGCCAAGCUGGUGGCUGAAUGCUUACUUUGCCAAGUACGAUCGUUUCACUAGAAUAUGGCGACUACCCAAGCAACAAUUGACACAUAACAAAAAAAUAAAUUGUGAUCAUUUGUUGCACUCAUGAAAUUCCGAGGUCUUAAGAAACAUUUUUUGUUACUACGAUGAAAUUUUAAAGAAACGAGCAACAACUAAAGUUGCAUCGCUGCUUCAAAAAUCUUCAGACCAACAACAUAAUUCGCGAGGUUAGAUUUGUUGUUGAAACGUGUAAACGGCAUUUGAAAACCCAACCUUCACUGAAUAGAUCUAGUGGGUGAAGCAUAUAGGUUGCCGACGUGAUGCUUGCGAGAUACAAAAAACAAACACACAAAAAUACUUCUAAAAGUUGCUGUCAUGUUCUAAAGCCAUGUAACAGCAACUUUUGCUCGAUUGCUAUUGUUAUAUUUGUUUUUGAGAUGAGGUUAUUUACUGCGUUGUAACUUUUGGGUACUUGGACUAGAAGUCGUUCAAAAAGUGUGGGGCUCUAAAACGAAAUGUGAUAAAUUGCUUUGAAUUUCAUUAUCACGCUGAGGUACUGAUGAAUUGGAGAAGCAAAAUUAAAACUGGUAAUGACCAUUAGCAUGAUAAGGGAAGCAAUAUUUGAAACUGAGUCAUGAACUUGCAAGUGUUUCUACAGCAAGUGACGUAAAUAGUACAAACAAGAAAAGUAAAUAGAAAUUGAUAACUGGAGUUGAAUCCCCAAAUUUCUGGAAAUAAUCAAAGAUAAAUCGCUAUACAGACAAUCUCUUUCCAUUCUGACCAUUGGCCAUUUUACAAUCUUACCACAACGCCAUGAAGUUUCUAUUGCGCCCUAGUUGCUGCUACGAUGCAUCUUCGUAGCUGAAAUUUUACCAUGCAGCAUUUACCAUGUUAGUAAAUUCCAUGCAUUAGUUUAUACAC